This 22-nucleotide non-coding RNA is filed under the name Arabidopsis thaliana (thale cress). The record is from RNAcentral. Lineage: Eukaryota; Viridiplantae; Streptophyta; Magnoliopsida; Brassicales; Brassicaceae.
UGUUGACAUCGGCGACCUCUCA